UUGUGAUUAGGUCAAUUUAUGGGAACCACUAGUGUAAGGUCAAUGAUAUUUGGUAUGCAGUUGUAUAAGCAUUGGCAUAUCUCAUUUCCAUGGAGAUCAUUUGGCUCCGCCCCCUUAGUCAUGGUCUAUAGACUUUGAAAACUUUGCUAAGUUAACAUGUAUUAGUUUGUGAUUAGGUCAAUUCAAGGGGGACCAUUAGUAGUAGGCCAAUGUUAAUUGAUGUUUAUUUGUAUAAGCAUUAGCACAUCUCAUUUCCAUGGAGAAUAUUUGGCCCAUCCCCCUCAGUCAUGGUCUAUUGACUUUGAAUAUUUGCUUAGUUUACAUGGAUUAGUUUGUGAUUAGAUCAAUUUAAGAUGAACUGCUAAUGUUAAGUCAAUGAUAUUUGGUAUGCAAAUGUAUUGGCAUUUAAAAGUAUCGUUUCCAUGGAGAUUAUAUGGCCCCA
This 442-nucleotide long non-coding RNA is filed under the name Mytilus galloprovincialis (Mediterranean mussel). The record is from RNAcentral. Lineage: Eukaryota; Metazoa; Mollusca; Bivalvia; Mytilida; Mytilidae.